CCCGGCGGGCGUUCCGGGGAGGAUGAAUAAGCGCUGGCCGCGGCGGCUCUGGCUGCGGUCGCUCCUCGGCGCGGAUCGCCCGCCGCCAGUGCGCCCAGGAAGGGCAGGGCUGCGGCAUGCGGUGCGGGAGCGGGCAGGUGCUGCCCGCCAGCCUCUGCCAUCCCGAAACCCGUUUGGUUCCGGCUAUGAAAGGACUCUGGCAGGAGGCACCAGGCCUUGGGCACCGGGGGCUGCUGCCGCAGCUGCCCGCUCCCAGCCCGUGCCGCUCCGGUGUGCCGCUGCCCACCCGUGAAGCUGAGCCUCGCCCGGCCGCCUGUGCCCUGUAAGGGCACCUACGGUGGCUCCUGCUCUGUCAUCCCAACCACGCUGCGGGCAAGAUGGGAUCGCAGGUAGACAAAGGACAUUCGUGUUCUUAACUCAAACAGAUGGACACACAAGAGAGAGUAAAUAAUUUGAAGCAAACAUCGCAAGAUCAUAGUGACUGAGAUGGGGAGACACCUCUGGAGGCUGCCUGCUCCAACCAUCUUCCUCGAGCAGGGAAAGACGCUUUUUGCUGAGCCGUGGCAGGCGUGGCUUCAAAGCCAUGCUCACUACUUCCACCCUCAUGCUUUGCUCCCUAACGCACAGCUAAGCGUGACAUGAUAGAGUCACAUCCCCCUACCCAUGGGGAUGUGUUUUUUCGAGGUGUGGUGAUGGGGGUCUGGUGGAAAUUUUAUCCCAAGAAUUAAUUUGAUAGGGGAUACACAGGGUUCAAAUAUGCAGGGACAGGAUACUACUGGAUAAGGUCUCUCCCAAUUAACCAGUGCAGUAACACUACCUAAAAAACCUGAAAUCCUUAGUGGCUCAAGUGUAAGACAAAGGAGGAUGCUGCUGUGUGGCCGUCAUCAGAUUCCCUGUACAUUUAUACCUGUGUCAGUGGUAGAUGUUUGUAAAAAGUGAAGAUGUCAUGUUUUUGGGCACACCUUGGUAGGACUGGGCAGGUCAGGGGUGUCUGCAGUCCAGCACAGUCCAGUGAAAGGGUGAAAGAUGGAGAACAUGGUAAAGCCAAUAGGCUGCCAGGCCAGGUAUGAAAUAAGGGAUUGAUGAACUCUAAUGGAUAGAUUAGUGAUAGGGGAGUCUUACCUAGUGUCAGUGGUUGCCAAUACAAGCAAACUCCAAGGGAACAAUUUCACAACCUCCAGUUGCAAUCAAACAUUGGCAUUCUCAUGCUGCCCUUGACAGCACCUCUGUUCCCCUUUCCUUAGGCAACCUUUGACACCUGUCUGACCCAAGACCAAACUAAUUCAGAGAAUGAGCCCUGUAGAAAGCUGAAGAAUCACAAACCCAUUCCCUGUGGGGUCAGACCAGUGCACACAGAGACAGGGAUCAGGGCCAGCCUGAUCAAGAACUGAUGCUGUUCCCACAGAAGCCAAUGGCACGCCUGAAAGCCAGCAGAAGUUGAGUUUGGGUACAUAAAAAGAUGGAAAACCAUUUCUGAAUUUCUCCUUCCCUGAGGCUCCACAGAGUUUGGGGGCUGUAUCGUGUCAUCAUCAGCCUCAAAAACAUCAGAGCAGUCUCUGUAAAGCCAGGAAGAAUAGCCAUCAGAUUUAAUGUGUUGCCCCUUCUCCCUCCCUACUGCUGAAAAGCACAGCAGUGAGCUUUAUCUCAGAUAUCGGCUUUAAUAUUUCAUUGGCAAAGCUCUCCAAGAUGUAAUUUACUUUAUUCUCAUGCCACACAAAAUAUGAAUGGGGUCCAAACAGUAUGAAUCACAGCUUACCAUAAUAACUGCUAAACACAUUGUAUCCCCAAAGUGAAAGUUGUCAAAGACUCUGGCAAGAAGGAUAAAAAGUAAAAAUAUCCAUAAUAACUGCAGGGAUCUGUGUUGUGCUGGUCCAGGAUAACUGGGAGACAUUGUGGUCAAUUUUCUGGAAGCCUGGGUUUGUCAGUUUACUUCCCCAUAACUCAGUUCCUUUAUCUGAAAAACUUGAAUAACAAUAUUUCUGACGUUUUUUCAAAGAGCCCUGGAAAAGUACUGUGCAUGGGGAGUUAAUAUGAAAUUAUUAUAUUAGGCAAUACAGAUGCAAGUAAUACAAGUAUAUCUAACUUAGUAUCUGACAUUUUUCUAAAUAGGAAGUGUUAAACAUCCUCAUUCUUCUGUAUGGGAAGGGUGAUCCUCUGUUUUAGUUUCAAGUUUUGUGACUCUCUUCAGGAUGCUUACUUCAGCCUGUACUGUUUUCCCAUAUUAAACUUUUAUUGCAUGCAUGCAGUGUUCUUCAGUGAAAGAACAAAAAUUAGAGUGGAAGAAUAUAACAUACCAAAAUUGAAAAGCAGUGAGAGGAAAUCCACUUCUUUCGUAAACCUUGUGUAUAGUAUAUCCUUUGCCUCUCCACAGAUCUACAAGGGGGAAUCCUGAUACUGUUGCCAGACCUGCCUCUCUUACCCAGUUAUUCCAAAAAGUGAUUGUUUUAGUUCUUCAGACAAUUGUUUAAUAAAAUACCGCAGAAUGCAUUUAUGGGGGCAGGUCUUCUGUAAGCCUAAAUCCUCAUAACGUGUUUAUUCAUUGUCACUUCUCAAGAUUCAUUGUUACUUCUCUUAUUCCUUGGGCUUAGUAUCUGCAUGGUUCUUACUAUUUUGAAAGUUCAUUCUAAAAAGCAAGCUAUCCUGAGAUGACUGGACUGAAUAAAUGAUCUCAGAAACCAGCAAAAAGCUCUGUCUGAAUCUCAUAGUCUUCAGUCAGUAUCCCUGAAAAGAGAUCACUUUAGCAUUGCCUGUAAUCCCACAAAUCCAGGGAUUUUCCUACUUCUUUGUGAUAUGAGGAUCAUAAGUAGAGUAAUCCCCACUUCUUGACUUCACACACAAAUUAUCUGGCAAUGUCAAGUCUUCAACAGCAGUGACCGUUUUCUAGGCAAUUGCCUGAAAACUACAACCAACCAAACUGAUAAUGAAACUGAACCUUCUUAAAAAUUCGAUAAAACUUCUGCUUUGACUGUAUGUUGAGCUUACUAUGUUAAGUAAGUAAAUACUCUCUGCUUCUUAUCUUCUGAUCUCACUUUCUCUAAACCCUAAGGUCUCAUGCAGCCAUAGGCAGAAGGCAUGUCAGCUAUCUGUGAUCUGUCAGGAACUGAUAAGACCUGGGCUGGGUUCCUGGGAAGCAGCGUCACAACUUAGUUCUCAGAGGUGGCAAGAAGGGAGAUAAAAAGGAUGGUUGGUCAGAAAUAGCCAGUGAGAUGGUUUUCCUCUGAAACAAGAAUUUUAUAGAAAAGAACUGUUUCAUCAGAAAUAAAUAGCAAAACUUUAACAUUCAUAAAUAGCACUGGGUUUGUUUUCUAACUGUGCUGAGAGGGAGAUCAAUGGUAGGGAAAGAUCUUGGAGGACUCAAGCCCUUCCUUUUAUUAUCUCUACUUGGUAAUAAACAUUGCCGAAGCAUUUCAAAAGCUGUUUUCUCUGGAUAGAAGAGAUAACACCUUGAUUUGCUGCCAUGUAGCCUCAGACCAAAGUUCAUUAAUCGUUUGAUAAAUUCACUGUCUUAAGGCGAAAUUUGGCUUUUGCUGUAUCUCUGUGAAUCUGCAAUAGCUUCAUCAAAAUCAAUGAUUUUUGCAGCAAGCUUUAAGUCCUGAAAAUGAGGGGAAUUACCACUGUGGUUUACUUCAGUGAAAAUCAGCCUUCAGGAAGCUGCUCUCAACAGGCAGAGUAGCUGGAAGAGUGUACUAGUACUCCUCUUGCUUCCCCUUUCCAUUAAUGGGUAAUAUCAGCAGCUUAUAGAGUGUGUCAGGAUAUGAGGGCUGAGCCAGCAGAUGAGGCCAAGGUGGCACAAAGAAGGACUUUGCAGAAGGCAGGGCUUAAAAAAAAAAAAAGGGGGAACCAACAAUUCAGACAGAAGGAACAAUGCCAGAGAAUGGCUGCGAGAAGCAUGUAGGAUAAUUUAGAUGUAGGUUAGCUGCCAUGGCAACCAUGUACCAAAUUACUCCACUUCUGUGUCUCUAAACCUACCAGCAGCUAAUUUUGUUUGUAUGUACUUCAGGCUUUAAAGCAAAUUAAACCACCUUAAAAUUCAUGAGGGGUUGCAAAUGAUGUGCAGAUACUGGAACUGCUGUGGGAUGCUUGGUUUAAACAUUUAGAAAAUAGAGAUAGAGAAAAGAAUAGCCCUUGAAAAUUCUGAUUUCAGUAAGUGGCUAAAAAAUACAUAAUUUAUUUAACAGUCAUAGCGGGCAGUUUUAACCUUGCAUUUGUACUGCUUUGCCUUGACAUGAUUGGUAUUUAUCAGGUCAACCUGAUACUUUUACCUCAAAUGAGUUUAUAAGAAAGAAAAUGGUUUUAGCAGCAGCUCUGUUUAUUUUUCACUGCAGGAAACUGCCAUGUUAUAGAAAGAAAAAGACAUUUUCUUUUACUCCAGGAUUCCUUGUAAAAUCUUAGAUCCCUAAGGAAUAGAAACAAGGCUAUCAAAGAGCAUGCUGCAAGGCACAUGCAUAUUAUUAGUUACUAAGAAUAGUCCAUUGCUGAGUGUGAGUGAAAAUAUCCAAAUGCAUUCCCUUGAUAAGUUAAGCAUGUAUUCCUCUCUCUGGGCACGCGUCAAAGUGUCCUCAAAUGGAAAAAUAAUGUUAUAAUAGCCUAACCUCUGCUUCCAGGCCAUGUACAUACAAUCCUAGAGAAACACAACAGAGCCUUCACAACACCUCAAUGGAGGAGGCCCACAGACCAUUAUAGCCAUUGGACUCCUCUUGCAGGGUCCAUGGAAACUCUUCAGAGGAGAAAGAGGUCAGGUUUUUUGAUCUUCCCACUGAAACUCAGUGAACAUCAUUGAGAUUUUCAGCCAUUAGUUGAGAGGCAUUAGGGCUUGACCCCCCAAAAUCAGCAGAAAUCUUUGAAUCAAGUGCAACAAAAAGCUGUGGUCAAUGCCAGGAGAUAAUUCCCUGUCCCUCCAUCAUCACAUGAUACUCACUGUACAGUGUGGUAUUCAGUAAUCAGGGCCUGCCUCCAGGCAAAAUGCUGGACAGAGAUCUUUAUUUUGAUGGAAUGUUCCCAAUAGCCUCUCCUUAAUAGGAUUUGUCUUAAGAUCUGCUUUUGAAAAAUUGAAAACAAUCUCAAUUCUGUUUUGUUUUCUUGGCCAAAAUUUGAGAUAAUAGCCCUUAAAUACCACAUAUGAAAAACUAAUACAAACAGUUAUAAGACCACAUUCUCCAAGAACAUUUAGUUACCCUGUGAGGCCCUUGCACUGUUGCUUUUUUGGCUCACUCUUGGUACAAGAGUGUUUUCAUGGAGCAUUAAGUAUUUGAUUUUUCUUGCAGGGUUUCCACUUGAUUUCACUAUUUUAGCUGGUUGCAGCUAUCUGUGUGAGAAGAGUUGCUCCAAAGUUGCUUCCAAGCUACAUGGUUACCUAAAAAUUCUGGCUUCAGUGCGUCUGUGAUUCAGCAUGUCCAGGACACUUCAUUGUGCUGUCUGGGAGUGGUUUGUAGCACAGCUGGGAACAAGAGAUGAGUGGGAAGCAGAGCACAGAGCAUGUUUACAGCUAAGAAACGUGCUUCUUGGAGUGUGUAGGUGUAAACCCUCUAGAUGUUCUUAGGUUAAGCAACAAACUCAGUGCCCCUUUCCUUCCUGCUUUCUGCAAGUUAAAGUUAAAAAUGUGUUUUCUCUCCAAGUAUAUGGCCACCUGAGACACCCUGUAUCAGUAUGAUUGCAGCUGCUCUCAGCAAUGGUUAAAUACCUUUGUGGAUGUGAAUCAUGUCAAGCUCAGGAAGCAGUAACAAUGCCAGGACUUCAAAUUCUGCUGUUGGAAAAAUCCCUGUUCUUCUAUCAUCAUCCCCUGCUGAGCGCUGUGUCUCCUGAGGAAAGUAUCCACUGCUGACAGACCGUCCCACUGAUGCGACCCAGUUAAGUACAGAUGGACACCUGAUGCUGAUAUGUAAACCUGUGCUCCACUGCACAUGGUGUAAAUUCAGGGUCAUUAAGCAAAAGAUAUUUUCAGAUAUUAUAAUAUCCAAUAUGCCUUGUCUGGCAUUACAGGCACAGUCAUCAGUAAAGCUGUGUCACCGAAGCAUUACUAGUCUGGAAUGGCUACUGUUUGCUUUCAGGUUGGCAGUUCAUUGGUCUUCUUUUCAAUCAGUGCCUCCUUCCAAGAGAAAAACUCCUGGAACUGCUGAUACUCUCUUCUCUGCUUACACUCUGCUCUCUAAGCCAAUGUCUGUCUCUUUUUGCAUCUACCAAACCCCUUGCAGUUGCAGGAGAUAUUGGUACAUCUGUCUCUGAACUCUUCAGGUCUUACUGUCAUGUUUAUUGUGGUAUUUUGGACUGUCAUCAACCCUGUGCUAAAGCACCAGAACACCCAGUAAUCUUCUAAACUGGUAAGGGUUAAUUCAGGGUCUCCUUGUGGUCUCUUCUGAGGUUUUUUUGUUUGUUCUGGGGCUUUGGUCCUUUGUCUGGAACUUGAGACGUUGGUUCUCAGGUUGUGUACCUCCAUGGUUUCACUUUCCUUUGUGACUCCAGGUUAGAUGUAGUCUCUCGAACUGUUCCUUCGACAUAAGGGUAUAAGAGCAGCUGUUCUAGGCCAUAGCAAAGAUCCAUCCAGCUCCAUCUUCUCUCAGCAGUGGCAAGUAGUGGAUACCUAUGACAAACAGGGUCUCAGCUGAGCAGCAGAGCUGAUGCUAGUCCGGGUGGCAAUAUCUUAUGGUUGAAGCGGUAUGGCAACAUCUCUAGUUGAAACACCAGUCUCAAGAAGUUCAAGGGAAAAAGUGUUCUCACAAAAGAUAACAGCUGUUCCACUCCCUGCCUGUUCUGUCCCGUCCUUGCUGAAGCCUCCUCCACUUACACGCACCUGACACCCGUGGGAGUGAUCUGACUGAAGUGUUUCCAUUUGACAUUUUGGUGGACAGCCUAUGGAGCAUCAGGAUGCUCUCUGAAACAAGCAGACCUCUUUUGAUUUAUUCAUUCCAACAGUGGGUAUAAUUUUAGAGCACAAAUGACAGGAAAUAAUUUUUUGCGCAGUUCAUCAGGAAAUAGAACAGGGCAAAGCACCAACUGUUGAGGAACAGGAGCUAUGACAUGCUGCCCAUGCUGCAUACUCAGUGCCUCUCUGACUGUAAAAGGAAUUCAAAAUAUAAUGUUCAUAAAAAGGGUUGAUUUUAUUGAGUCAAAUCAAACUAUUGUAUGACUGUGUGUUCAAAAACUGCCAAUGUAGUUUAGGUUCUCUUGGAAACCAAAAGGUGACAAUCAGCCAGCUCCAGUCCAUCAAGUGCAACACUGACUGAAAUCAGCAGAGCUGUAUCACUUGCCCCUAAGUCUGAAAGGUUUCCAACAAAUUGCUGACGUAGAAGAGAUCACUCAGCCAUUUCUAGUACUAGGGAAGGAGGGAGGGAGAGAUGGAAGGAAUUAUACCCUUAGAACAAGAUUGCUGUAUGUCUGUGUUUGGGAAGUCUACACUGCUACUGCCUUUGUGAGCCUUUCUGUGGUUACAGGCAGGAUUUCAGUCUCUGUGCACCUUCUGGUGCACUUGGCAGUCUGGCACCUUCAAUGCAUACUUGAUUAUCUACUGAAAGUCUUGAUGCUAAUUUUUAAAAUUAAGAAGCUAUUUUCCUCUGCCCAUGUGAAAUGAGAAAGUGUAAAUUUGUUUGCAUGUCAAUUUCUGUUGCAGUAAUGAAUCAUCACUCAAUACAACAGCUUUUGUAUUUUGUACACAGGUUUUCUGCCUAUGUGGAAGAAAGAGUACCUUGUUUCUGCAGUCUGAUAGCAUAAAUUCAGCCAGAUCUCUAAAGUUUGUGAUGGCUUCUUUCCUUCUUGAAACUUUUCUUCAGAGUAUUAUAUUAUGUCCCUUAAUAGAUUCUAUGCAAACCCACCACUUUCAGAGCGGCCGAAAUAAAAUGUGACACAAAGGGAGUGCUCCUGUGUACAUUGAGUCAAGGCAUUAAAGUCCUUGCUUCCAAAGCCUGAACUUUUUCAUGCAGAACUGAAUCAAGUAUCACCUCCUUUAGUUAGUCACCUAGCUGCACAGAGGUAAAAUCAGGGGAAAAUCCCUUCUUCAGCACAAGUGAUGAUGACAGCUGCUCCUACAGAAGGUGGAAUUCUUCCAUGGUGACUUCAGAAGAGUGUCAUAUUUAAAGUGGCCUUUGGCUCUUCUUGGCUUUAAACACAGAUCUCUUUUUAGUGAGCCUUCAGUGAUCCUCUUGUGAUGUUCGUUUGGUGGCUGACCAGCGAGAAGGUUGCUAUUUCAGCAAAAAUGCAGGAGAAAUGGUGACAGCUGCAUGGGGCAGCAGCAAAAUCAGAAGCACUACACUUCUUGAAAAUGAAAGACAGGCUUUGAAGCUACUUCAAGAUUAAGAAACAGAAGAAAACUAUCCAGUUCCUGAGACCAGGAUGCAGCCUUAGCUGCAUCCAAACAUCAGCUUGACUGGAGUCUCACCUCACAAUCACACUCACUGGCACAUUGGCAAUGAAGCCUAGAUGCACAGCCUUGUGAGGAGCUAAUGUACACUCCAGCAGAAUAUUUUAAACAUUGGGAAAAGUAUCUGACUAUGAACAUAUCAGACAAAUGGGGACAAAAACCUGGUUUAGAAAUGUGGACAGGUCAACCAUUGAAAGCAAGAACAUCUGCAAAAUCACGUAAGAAUUAACUAUCUGUCUACCAAUUAAAAUAAAAUUUAACUUUUCUUAUUCCUAGUGCUCAUAGGAGCCUUUUCUAAAAGUCUCAACUCUUUUGGUGCCAUACUUCAAGGACUUGUACAAAAUUGCUUUUGACCUGCCAUUUCUGAAACUUCAUUCACCGACAACUUCUGGCACUUUGUCCUAAUGCUGAAAUCAUCCUUUUAAAAUUAAUGAUUGUACCAUUAUCCAACAUCCUACACAGUCUUCUAGAGUUUCAUGCCUGGUCAUAGGGAGGGUGGUUAAGCACUCAAACAGGUGCCCAGAGAGAUUGUGUGCAGCCAAAAUCUAACUGGGCAAGGCCUGAGCAACCUGAUCUAUCUGUGACAUGCUCCCUGGUUUGAGCAGGAGCUUGGACUACGUGACCUCCAGAGAUUCCUUCCAACUUCAAGUAAGUCUUGGACUCAAUGAUUCUGCUUCUUUUUCCCAUGUACCACCCACUGCUAUGGGAGAUCUCACACAAAAAUGCAGCUAUUGUAGUUCUCCCCUGCUAGCCUUGGCCUUUCACAAUUGUUUUUCCCUAAUAAAUACCCUGCUUCAGUGUUUUCACAUGGUGUCUAGCCAUCAGUUUAAAGAAAACACAGACAGAACUUCAAGCCUUUCUUCCAAAAUCCUUCAAGUUUAGUCUCAAUGUUAGGUACCAUCUUUUUCUUAUCCAGCUUUUUGAAGCUACAAAUUCGACCGUAUCUAAACAUUGUCGUUCCUUUUUACAUCAAAUCUCUUACACUCAUCCCUCCCUUUCAGUAAUGAAGGGCCCAAGAUAGGGUUCCAGAGAUGUGAGCUUUAUAUUAGUAUUACAUCUACUUCUGUACAUCAUUUUGUGGGAGUUAUUUGGUUGGUUUUUUUCUGCACUUUUUGAUGACUCACUUGAGAUAUUCUACAGUUUCACAGAUUUUUUUUUCUGCUUUCCAUUUGUUUUUUCUUUUAUUAAAAGACUUAAUCUUUUAAUUGUCUUAAUCAGACAAUUUUGAAAAAGGUAAUUUCUGAAAACUGAAAUUAAGAUGAACACCAUGGUCUUAGCUCUCCUUCUAGUUCUCAUGUCGUAUCUUUACUAUUGGAUGACAGGAAGGGUGGUUGCAAAGAUAGUGAAUUUAAGAUUCAUAACACUUGGUGUUGUUUCCUGCAUUUCAGUAAGUCCACAGUGCAGAGCUUCAUAUGAAUUAGCAGUGCUUCAGUUGAAAUACAUGAAGACUUUGAGACAUCUAAUUCACAUUUUGAAAGCAGAGUUCUUUAUUUUAACCUACCUUUGGUAUCUGUUUACCUAUUGAAGACUAAAGGGUAAACAUAACCUAAAGCUAAAGCUGCACCUCAGAAAAAUGGGGAUAACACUGUUUCCACCCUCUUAACCUUCUUCUGGGUAUGACAAUUUUAACCUCUUUCCAGCAAGGAAUAUAUUUUAAAAUAUGUUUCCAAGGAAUAACUGGAUAUUCACUCUUUUGAAUAAGUGAAGAGAUUAAAAAAAAAGCCCCCAAAAUCACUCCAAACAACAAAACACCACCAUCAGGUUGUACUGCUUCAGCUUUUAAAGGGCAGCCCUUUAAGAAAUGCAUCUUUUCCUAUGCUGCAGCCUUUAAGAAGAGAUUCCACUUUCUAAGAAAAUCAGUGAGAGUAACUUCUGUAAUUUCAUCUUGGUCCUGUAAGUUAGGCUAGGAAAUGCAGCUGAAACUAAAAUCUUCCAUGUAGUUUCUGUUUUCUGAGAGUAUUUUUGAAUAUCAGGUGACAUAUGUGGGUGGGGGAACUUCAAGAUUAGCUUUAAUCAAAUCUCAGCUUUUGCAGGAACUUCCCAAAGCCUUUCUCACCCUUUUCUCCUGACUGAAACAUUUUGCUAGUUUUGGGUGCAUUCCAAUUAGAACCUAAAAUAUUUUAUUACGGUUUGCUGUCUUGCGAUGUUCCAAGUACUCCCAAGUUUCAUUUCACCAUUCAGAUCUAUCCCUUUAGCCUUCUAUUGUGAAGCUAGCCCUAAAAUAUUACCUCUGUGUCUGAGAUACAGACCACAAUCAAACAAAUCUGGUGAUUUCCAGAAGACUUUUAGUCUGAAUAAGGAAGAUAAAAAAUUGAUCUUCCAUCACAGGCAAUGAAGACAGAAUUAACAGGACUGAAGAAAACUGAACCAUAGAGAAUACAGCUUCUUGAUACCAUUUUGGAAAUAAAAGAUGAAAGGUAGUUUCCCUAUCUCUCCCUAUGAGAAAUACCACUCAUUCAGUUGUGGUCAGCAGAAGAACCUUCUAAUACAAGAGUGUAGGUUCAUAAAGUGAGAGUUGAAGAGUAAACAAAUAAUCCAGAACAAAGCAAAUGCUUUUAACCAUCUUUCUCGCAUGGAAAAAAAAAAAAAAAGUUAAUAAAAGAAAAAGGCAAAUGUUAGUUAGAGCUGGAACUUGUGAUCAGAAAGAACAUACUUGGGAUAAGAAAUUUAUUUCACACAAAAAAGGCCCAGCAGGAAAAACUAUUAAAAUGAGUCCUUACAGCUAUUUAGUGUGUAAUUUAAUAGGUCUCUUUUCUGGCUGAGAACUUUUAGGAUAUCAUAGAAGAUGUACUAAAUCAUACCAGAAGUCAUCAGUUUCUUUCCAGUGAUAACUGGUUAAAUACACUGUGAUUUUCCUCCUCGCUUUAGCUUGCCUUCAAGUGCUCAUGCCUUUUCUUUGGCUUUCUCCUUCUUCUCACCUCACAAGUAUUAAUUUUUUAUCUGCUUUCCUCAUUUAACAUCUUGUCUUGCCAUCAUGAUCCUUUCCUAUUCCAGCUCCUGGUCUCUUUUGCAGACAAGCUUUUCUUGUCUGCCUGUUUCUCCUCCCAACAAAAAUAACCUUGAUUAUAUUCUAUUCUUAAUUCUGCUACUUCUACAGACUUUUUGCUCUCAUUUCUGUUGGAAUAAGAUUCAUUAGGAAGCAGAUAAAUACAAUUUUUAUCAAUAAGGCAAAAUGCCUAAAAUUCACAUACACAUUGCCAAUAUUCACAUACAGGAUAUUGACAGAAAUGUGAGCAGCAUAUUUUUCUCCUUGAAAUCAGUGCAAUGGAAACAAAGCUUUUCCUGUUGAUUUUAAAAAUGUAUUUUUUUCUGAACUCCAUAAAUUAUUUCUAGUUGUUACUUUCCAACAGCUGUGUUAUUUUCCCCUUUUUUUCACUAGGUACCAUUAUUACUUUGGGUUUGUUUUGAUUAGUUUACAUUGCAUUGGUGAGGUUUUCAUGCUGGGUGGAGUUUGUUUUUUUCCAAAUAAUCUACUCAGUUUUUCUUCCUUACCACAUUUUCAUUUCUUUCAAGUAAUUCAUCCUGCACUACCAGUGUUCUCCCUGAACUUACUAGAGCUAUUUCUUGCAGGCUUGAUACUUGAAACAUGGAAGAACUUUAUUUUAGAAUUAUUUUGUAACAUGGUCUCUACUUAGCAAAUGCACCUAACCCAUGAUUUUGGAUACUCCAGGUAUGUUGCACAUGGCUCCUGUAAGCACACUGUCUAGAGCUGGCUUUUUUAAUUACAUCUCAGGCCUCCACCAGUUCAGUUCCUGUCAAUUGAGUUCAACUAAACUGUUUUCAUCAUAGUCUCUAGUGGCUUCUUACCUGCAGUUUACAGUUCUAGCACUGCAGGUUUCCAGUUCUUGGUCUGCUGAUUGUUCUUGGCACAACCACAUAAUUUCUGAAAAUUUCACACUCAUUGGCUUCAGGGUCUCCAUUCUCUCCUGAUUCUCCUCCACCCUCUAUAACAGCUCACAAAGCUCUUUGGAGGUAUCUUCAUUUCACCUCAGCACUGCAAGGAGGAUGGGGUGUUCUAUCAAACCCUGGGUUUGGUUUCCUUCUCUUCUCCUGCCCCUUACCUCUGAAUAAUCACUUCCCUGGUUCACUUAACAGCUUCAUACUCAUCACUUACAGAUCCACAUUUCCACUCUAGCCAUGAAUCAUUUUAGCCAGGCUAACAACUCAGCCUAUCUUUCCCAACAGCUCACUCUGACUAUAUAAUCAUCAGUGGAAGCUUAAUAUGGUUAAUUGCUCUCCCCCAAUAAUUGCUUUUCCUGGCUUUGACAACAUAGUCUUGCACCUCACAAGUGUUUUAGCAAAGACAAACUUGCUACAGUAAGAUAUUUUAUUUCAUCUCAUUUUUUUGAGACACCUCUUAUACUUGCUUUUUUAAAUCAUGUGAGAUUUAACCCAACCAGUUUUCUGUUUGUAGGACACAUCACAGUCUAGACCCUCAUCUAGUGACUGCAUGUUUCCUAUUGAAAUGCUGAGUAGUAGAGGUCCUUUCAAAUAUCUUGUUACACCUGUCACAUUUUGAGAUCUACACCUUUGCUUUUUUCUUUUAUCUUGCUGAUGUGUGCCUUCAUGUUUCCCUGUAAAACGCUCCAUUACAACACAUGUGAGUCCCAAUUAUGCUAACAGGGAAAAAUUAAGUUCCAUCUUCCUUACCAGACUGUGUUCCACUGUUAUGCUUUUGGGUUACUCUUAGAUUAUAAGCUCCAAGAUGAAAGAACCACCUUGACAGCAAAGGGGAUUAUGGUACCUAAAUAAAAAUAAUAUUUUUAUAGAAAUAUAUGCAAAUUAAUUACGUCUUGUCCUUGUAUUAUUGUAUGGUUUUGUAUAGAGUUCCUAAAUACUAUAAUCCUUCUGUAAAUUACACAUUUUCCAAAUAAAAUUUACUUCUAAAGUACUCUAGGCACUUUGCAAAUAACUGUGUAUCAAGUUAUUUAGUUUAAUCUUAUUUACUUGCUAGAGCAGAUGCAUCCCAUAUUUCACCACAGUCAAGUAUAAUGACUCCAUAGAACAUGUAUGCUCAGUCUGGAAACUCUGGGAAUCAAUAAGCAAUUAAUAAAUACAGUACAAAUUAAGAGCUCUGAUGAGCUCCCUAACACUUACACCUGAGCAGAUUUAUUUUAGAAUACCUUUUUUUAUAAAUCAGCAUCCAAUGCAUUGCAGGACAA
Molecule: long non-coding RNA, 13512 nt
Organism: Motacilla alba alba
Lineage: Eukaryota; Metazoa; Chordata; Aves; Passeriformes; Motacillidae
Exons: 3
Source: RefSeq, a predicted model, not a curated record